RNAcentral lists this ribosomal RNA (253 nucleotides) under uncultured bacterium. RNAcentral describes it as "partial 16S ribosomal RNA". It matches the Rfam family "Bacterial small subunit ribosomal RNA", at positions 524 to 776 of the family's 1533-position model. The record is from RNAcentral.
UACGUAGGGGGCAAGCGUUGUCCGGAAUCAUUGGGCGUAAAGCGCGUGUAGGCGGCUUGGUAAGUCUGCUCUGAAAGCCCGGGGCUCAACCCCGGGAGGCGGGUGGAUACUGCUGAGCUCGAGUCCGGAAGAGGCGAGUGGAAUUUCUGGUGUAGCGGUGAAAUGCGCAGAUAUCAGGAGGAACACCAAUGGCGAAGGCAGCUCGCUGGGACGGUACUGACGCUGAGACGCGAAAGCGUGGGGAGCAAACAGG